AAUGGGCGCAAGCCUGAUCCAGCAAUACCGCGUGUGUGAGGAAGGCCCUAGGGUUGUAAAGCACUUUCAGCAGUGAAGAAAAGCUUAGGGCUAAUACCCUUGAGUAUUGACGUUAACUGCACAAGAAGCACCGGCUGACUCCGUGCCAGCAGCCGCGGUAAUACGGGGGGUGCAAGCGUUAAUCGGAUUUACUGGGCGUAAAGCGCGCGUAGGUGGUUUGGUUAGUUGGAUGUGAAAGCCCUGGGCUCAACCUGGGAAUUGCAUCCAAUACUGCCAGACUAGAGUGUGGUAGAGGGAAGUGGAAUUCCGGGUGUAGCGGUGAAAUGCGUAGAGAUCCGGAGGAACACCAGUGGCGAAGGCGGCUUCCUGGACCAACACUGACGCUGAGGUGCGAAAGCGUGGGGAGCAAACAGGAUU
Molecule: ribosomal RNA, 417 nt
Filed under: uncultured Gammaproteobacteria bacterium
Lineage: Bacteria; Pseudomonadati; Pseudomonadota; Gammaproteobacteria
Description: bacterial SSU rRNA
Rfam family: Bacterial small subunit ribosomal RNA
Source: RNAcentral